UACGUAGGGGGCAAGCGUUAUCCGGAUUUACUGGGUGUAAAGGGUGCGUAGGUGGUACGGCAAGUCAGAAGUGAAAACCCGGGGCUCAACCCCGCGGAUUGCUUUUGAAACUGUCAGACUGGAGUACCGGAGAGGUAAGCGGAAUUCCUAGUGUAGCGGUGGAAUGCGUAGAUAUUAGGAGGAACACCAGUGGCGAAGGCGGCUUACUGGACGGUAACUGACACUGAGGCACG
This 233-nucleotide ribosomal RNA is filed under the name uncultured archaeon. Its description in RNAcentral is "partial 16S ribosomal RNA". It matches the Rfam family "Bacterial small subunit ribosomal RNA", at positions 524 to 755 of the family's 1533-position model. The record is from RNAcentral.